AGAGUUUGAUCAUGGCUCAGGACGAACGCUGGCGGCGUGCUUCAAACAUGCAAGUCGAACGGAGUUAAUUUUGAAGCUUGCUUUAGAAUUAACUUAGUGGCGGACUGGUGAGUAACGCGUGAGUAAUCUGCCUAUCACAGGGGGAUAACAGAGGGAAACUUCUGCUAAUACCGCAUAAGACCACAGGAUGGCAUCAUCAAGGGGUCAAAGGUUAGAUCUGGUGAUAGAUGAGCUUGCGUAUCAUUAGCUAGUUGGUGAGGGUAAAGGCCCACCAAGGCGACGAUGAUUAGCCGAUCUGAGAGGAUGACCGG
RNAcentral lists this ribosomal RNA (311 nucleotides) under uncultured bacterium. RNAcentral's name for it is "bacterial SSU rRNA". It matches the Rfam family "Bacterial small subunit ribosomal RNA", at positions 8 to 307 of the family's 1533-position model. The record is from RNAcentral.